UUGGAUGAUGGGCCAGGGAUUUGUGACU
This 28-nucleotide non-coding RNA is filed under the name Homo sapiens (human). The record is from RNAcentral. Lineage: Eukaryota; Metazoa; Chordata; Mammalia; Primates; Hominidae.